ACCUAGACUAAGGCCAAGAGAAUAGUAUGACAGAAUUGACAAGCUAUGUGUUUACCUAAAACAAGAUUCACAUAGCCUGUACCUAGAGAUAGAUCUGGGUUCUGAGUCUGGAAACUCUGCCAGCAACAGCUAA
Molecule: ribozyme, 133 nt
Filed under: Peromyscus maniculatus bairdii (prairie deer mouse)
Lineage: Eukaryota; Metazoa; Chordata; Mammalia; Rodentia; Cricetidae
Description: Hovlinc ribozyme (hominin vlincRNA-located)
Rfam family: Hovlinc ribozyme (hominin vlincRNA-located)
About the family: Hovlinc is a recently evolved class of self-cleaving ribozyme found in a very long non coding RNA (vlincRNA) in hominins, including humans (genus Homo), and chimpanzees and bonobos (genus Pan), but missing in gorillas (genus Gorilla).
Source: Rfam by way of RNAcentral